RNAcentral lists this long non-coding RNA (3518 nucleotides) under Brassica napus (rape). RNAcentral's name for it is "long non-coding RNA (BNAP_LNC007810)". Lineage: Eukaryota; Viridiplantae; Streptophyta; Magnoliopsida; Brassicales; Brassicaceae. The record is from RNAcentral.
GUAGUUUUUAAGAUAAUUAUUUAAAAAUACAACCUACUGAUGAAAAAUUCGAAAGAAUCAUCUAUCCACAAAUAUUCUUGUUAUCCUAAUUUUUAAAUCCCAAAAAAAUGAAAACUUUCCAAAAAUAACAGUUUUUAAGAAAAUUAUUUUAAAAUACAACUUAUUGAUGAAAAUUUCUUAAAGAGUAUUCGUCUUUCCACAAAUACUCUAGUUAUCCUAAUUUUUAAAUCACAAACCCUAAUCAACAAUAUUUCUCUAAAAAAUGAAAACUUUCUAAAAAUAGCAGUUUUUAAGAAAAAUUAUUUAAAAAUACAACAUUUUGAUGAAAAAUUCUUAAAGAUUAUUCAUCUUUCCACAAAUAGUCUAAUUGUCCUAAUUUUUAAAUCACAAACCCAAAUCUACAAUAUUUCUCUAAAAAAUGAAAACUUUCUAAAAAUAGCAGUUUUUAAGAAAAAUUAUUUAAAAAUACAACAUUUUGAUGAAAAAUUCUUAAAGAUUAUUCAUCUUUCCACAAAUAGUCUAAUUGUCCUAAUUUUUAAAUCACAAACCCAAAUCUACAAUAUUUCUCUAAAAAAUGAAAACUUUCUAAAAAUAGCAGUUUUUAAGAAAAAUUAUUUAAAAAUACAACAUUUUGAUGAAAAAUUCUUAAAGAUUAUUCAUCUUUCCACAAAUAGUCUAAUUGUCCUAAUUUUUAAAUCACAAACCCAAAUCUACAAUAUUUCUCUAAAAAAUGAAAACUUUCUAAAAAUAGCAGUUUUUAAGAAAAAUUAUUUAAAAAUACAACAUUUUGAUGAAAAAUUCUUAAAGAUUAUUCAUCUUUCCACAAAUAGUCUAAUUGUCCUAAUUUUUAAAUCACAAACCCAAAUCUACAAUAUUUCUCUAAAAAAUGAAAACUUAAAAAAAAAAAUAGCAGUUUUUAAGAAAAUUAUUCCAAAAUACAACCUAUUGAUGAAAAAAUCCGAAAGAAUACUCAUCUAUCCACAAAUAUUCAUUUUGUACUAAUUUCUAAAUCACAAACCCAAAUCUAUAAUAUUUCUCUAAAAAUGAAAAAUUUCCAAAAUAGCAGUUUUUAAGAAAAUUAUUUAAAAAUACAAACUGUUGAUGAAAAACCCCGAAAGAAUACACAUCUAUCCACAAAUAUUCUUGUUGUCCUAAUUUCUUAAUCACAAACCCAAAUCUAUAAUAAUUCUCUAAAAAUGAAUACUUUCCAAACAUAGCAGUUUUUAAGAAAAUUAUUUAAAAAUACAACAUAUUGAUGAAAAACUCUUAAAGAUUAUUCAUCUUUCCAUAAAUAGUCUAAUUGUCCAAAUUUUUAAUCACAAACCCAAAUCUACAAUAUUUCUCUAAAAAAUGAAAACUUUCCAAAAAUAGUAGUUUUUAAGAAAAUUAUUUAAAAAUACAACAUAUAGAUGAAAAUUUCUUAAAGAGUAUUCGUCUUUCCACAAAUAGUCUUGUCAUCCUAAUUUUUAAAUCACAAACCCUAAUCUACAAUAUUUCUCUAAAAAACGAAAACUUUUCAAAAAUAGUAGUUUUUAAGAAAGUUAUUUAAAAAUAUAACCUACUAAUGAAAAACUCCGAAAUAAUACUCAUCUAUCCACAAAUAUUCUUUUUGUCCUAAUUUCUAAAUCACAAACCCAAAUCAAUAAUAAUUCUCUAAAAAUGAAUACUUUCCAAAUAUAGCAGUUUUUAAAAAAAUUAUUUAAAAAUACAACCUAUUGAUGAAAAAUUCCGAAAGAAUACUCAUCUAUCCACAAAUGUUCUUUUUGUCCUAAUUUCUAAAUCACAAACCCAAAUCUAUAAUAUUUCCCUGAAAAAUGAAUUUUUUAAAAAAAUAGCAGUUUUUAAGAAAAUUAUUUAAAAUACAACAUAUUGAUGAAAAAUUCUUAAAGAUUAUUCAUCUGUCCACAAAUAGUCUGGUUGUCCUAAUUUCUAAAUCACAAACCCAAAUCUACAAUAUUUCUCUAAAAUGAAAACUUUCCAAAAAUAGCAUUUUAAAGAAAAUUAUUUAAAAAUACAAAAUAUUGAUGAAAAUUUCUUAAAGACUAUUCGUCUUUCCACAAAUAGUUUAGUUAUCCUAAUUUUUAAAUCAAAAACCCUAAUCAACAAUAUUUCUCUAAAAAAUGAAAACUUUUCAAAAAUGGCAGUUUUCAAGAAAAUUAUUUAAAAAUAUAACCUACUAAUGAAAAACUCCAAAAGAAUACUCAUAUAUCCACAAAUAUUCUUGUUGUCCUAAUUUAUAAAUCACAAACCCAAAUCUAUAAUAUUUCUCUAAAAAUGAAAUGUUUCAAAAAAUAACAGUUUUUAAGAACAUUAUUUAAAAAUACAAACUGUUGAUGAAAAACUACGAAAGAAUACUCAUCUAUCCAUAAAUAUUCUUGUUGUCCUAAUUUCUAAAUCACAAAACUCAAACCUAUAAUAUUUCUCUAAAAAAUGAAAAUUUUCUAAAAGUUGCAGUUUUUAAGAAAAUUAUUUUAAAAUAGAAACUUUUGAUGAAAAGUAUUCGUCUUUCCAUAAAUAGUCUAGUUAUCCUAAUUUUUAAAUCACAAACCCCUAAUUUUUAAAUCACAAACCCUAAUCAACAUUAUUUCUCUAAAAAAAUGAAAACUUUUCAAAAAUAGCAGUUUUUAAGAAAAUUAUUUAAAAAUAUAACCAACUAAUGAAAAACUCUGAAAGAAUACUCAUCUAUCACAAAUAUUUUUGUUGUCCUAAUUCUAAAUUACAAACCCAAAUCUAUAGUAAUUCUCUAAAAAUGAAUACUUUCCAAAUAUAGCAGUUUUUAUGAAAAUUAUUUAAAAAUACAUCCUAUUGAUGAAAAACUCCGAAAGAAUACUCAUCUAUCCACAAAUAAUCAUGUUGUCCUAAUUUCUAAAUCACAAAACUCAAUCCUAUAAUAUUUCUAUAAAAAAUAAACUUUCUAAAAGUUGCAGUUUUUAAGAAAAUUAUUUUAAAAUAGAAACUGUUGAUGAAAAACUCCAAAAGAAUACCCAUCUAUCCACAAAUAUUCUUGUUGUCCUAAUUUCUAAAUCACAAACCCAAAUCUAUAAUAUUUCUAUAAAAAAUAUAAACUUUCUAAAAAUAGCAGUUUUUAAGAAAAUUAUUUAAAAAUACAACAUAUUGAUGAAAAAUUCUUAAAGAUUAUUCAUCUGUCCACAAAUAGUCUAGUUGUCCUAAUUUUUAAUCACAAACCUAAAUCUAUAAUAUUUCUCUAAAAAAUAAAAACUUUCUAAAAAUAGCAGUUUUUAAGAAAAUUAUUUAAAAAUAUAACAUAUUGAUGAAAAAUUCUUAAAGAUUAUUUAUCUGUCCACAAAUAGUCUAGUUGUCCUAAUUUCUAAAUCAUAAACCCAAAUCUACAAUAUUUCUCUAAAAAAUGAAAACUUUCCAAAAAUAGCAGUUUUUAAGAAAAUUAUUUAAAAAUAUAACAUAUUGAUGAAAAAUUCUUAAAGAUUAUUUAUCUGUCCACAAAUAGUCUAGUUGUCCUAAUUUCUAAAUCAUAAACCCAAAUCUACAAUAUUUCUCUA